This 2923-nucleotide long non-coding RNA is filed under the name Musa acuminata (dwarf banana). RNAcentral describes it as "long non-coding RNA (MACU_LNC002791)". Lineage: Eukaryota; Viridiplantae; Streptophyta; Magnoliopsida; Zingiberales; Musaceae. The record is from RNAcentral.
AUGAGGAAUGGUUGGGUUACAGUAAUAUUUCCAUGGUCAAAUGAAGUGUAUAUUGGAGAACAAUUAAUUCAAUGUUUUGCAGUGACAUGUAGGCUCGUCUCCUUCAUGAAGGUGUAAGAAGCAGCAAAACACAGGUAUCAUCAUCUCAUCACACAACCAAGCAUGUCCUCGAAUAAUUUAUUGGGUUUAAAGGUGAUAUUUGCCCACAUUGUCUCUGAAAGCAUGAUAAGGACAUGAGUGAACCACCAACCAUCAGCAUCUCUACUCGAGGCUGAAACGAGACUAUAUGUCUUCGAUCAUAGGCUUCAUCUUUCUUUUCUCUGUCUUAGCUUUCUUCACAUACUUAGAGACUUCUAUGUAUGUUCCUUCGACAUGCUUUGCAUCGGGUGUCUUUUCUAGGUUCUCCAGCAAAGGCUUCUCCUUCUGCCCUAAGCUUGCUUAUUGCAGAUGCUAAUCUAUCGUCAGGUAAAUCCAAAGCUUUGGAUUCUGGCUUCUGUACCACCUCAGAAAAAGAUGUAAUAUGGACAGCGGGUGUCACAGCAUAAUCCUCGUUGUAUUUCGUUUUACAUUUGGUUGAAUAAGUAUCAAGUUUAUCAUUCACAUUGCGGGCAGAUGAAAGAUUCUUAUCGAAAUGUAGUUUCAGAAUCAUUUAAGUGCAAAGAUAUAUGUAUGUAUGUAUCUAUAGGCCCUUUUCAAUUUAUCUAGCAUCAUACUUUCCUGCAUUUCUCGACCGACAUCAUCAUUGGAGCCACUUAGCAGUUUGAUGUCCACUUCGUCAUACUUGCUAGAUUUCACUCCCCAUCUAUUUCCUAUUCCAUCAUUUUAUUUGAACAUCAUAACUUCGACCGUGAUCUCAGAAGAUUUUACUAGGGCAGAAGAUGGACAUGCUUCAGAAAUAGUGAAAUCUGGGAUCAUUUUCCUUAUCCUUUUCCUUUGCAUGCCUCUCGUUAGCAAUAGUUUCCUAAUUAUCAGAACCUAUGUCAUGACAUUUGAUCCCAUAAUCAUCCUAUGAGAUAGUUUGUAUAGAUCUAUAAAAAUUGAUAUGAUCAUAACUUUUAUGUCAUACCGUUGAUUCAUCAAUUCCAGUAGCACUACAAAGAAAUUCAAAGAUAAUAAGGAAUAAAUUUUAUUUUUUAUCAUCCUCUAUCAAUUUUUUUUAAUUUUUUUUAUCAUAAAUCAAGUAUUUUUUACAUAAAAAAUAACAUAAUAUACUUUUUCUCAUCAGUUGUCCUAUACCGACAAGAUUUUAUUUUAAACUAAGAAUAAAUAUUAAAUCAUUAAUAAUAAUUUUUUUAUCAAAUUUAGUAUUCACGAUAAUUAUUUGUUUUUCUUUAACUUAAACCUUGCUAUUAUUUCUCAUGCACUAUAAAUCUAAAUGAAUCAUCAAGUCCUUGAAAUAAAUUGUUGUCUCCUAUCAUAUAAUUACUAAGCAGAUAUAUAAUUCUUCAUCAGAUGCUAUAAAGAAAAUAUUUUUUUCAUCCUUUUUUUACUAUUAUUUUCCUCAUAAUAAUUUGUGUGAUUUUUAUUCCAAUAAUCUUUUUAAAGACGAUCAUAUUUUUUAGAAUAAGAAUAGAGAAGAAUAUUUUGAUUUUUAUUUUAAUACCAAUAAUUUUGUUUUCAAUUGUCUAUUUGUUUAUAGUAAAAAUAUUGACGAGUUUCUUUGUUACCGAGUUCUUCUAACCCUCAUUUGAUCAAUCGCGAUCUCUAUUUUUUUUAUCUUUCCAUUAAGAUCUAGCUUUUGAAUUUUUCAUUUGAAAAAGCAUGUUUUGAAGUUUUAUACGAAGAUCUAUUCACUUUUUGUUUAUGAACUAAGAGGGAGCUCAUUAAUUCAUCAACUGAUAAUGUACUUAUAUCCUUAGCUUCUUCUACAAUUAUAAAAAUUAUAUCAAAUUUUGGAGAUAAACUCCGUAAAACUUUUUAUAAUACAAUUUAACCAUAAGAUCUCAUUUGGUUCACAAUAAAAAAGACUUUCAAGAAAAAACUAACGAUAAAUUUAGAAUAUUUCAUCAUAAAAGUUUCAAAUUUAUGUAGAACUAUUUGAAGCUUUAAACUUUUUACUUUGUUUGUGCCAUCAAACAUACUUUUUAAUAUCUUCAUAGGCCUCUAUUAAUGUUGAUGUCAUGAUUCUAGCAAAUAAGAAUUCAUUGAUGUAGUAUGAAGAGAACUAUUGCAUCCUUUUACAUAUUUUUAUUCAUUUGAUUUUUUUGAUCCUCAGUAAUAUUAGGAUCUUGUAGAUCAUACUCAAUAAAAUCAUCUUUUACUAAAUUCUAUAAUAUUUAUGAAAUAAAUAAAAUUUUCAUGUUAAUAGUCCAAAAUUAAUAAUUAUCACUUUUGAAGAUAAGAAAAAUUAAAUUAGAAAUACUUAUUUCAAUAUCUACCUUUUUUAUCUAUUUUUUUAUUUAAUAAUAAAAAUUAAAUUUAUGGUGUAUUUUGAUAUUACAAAUCAAGUUUUAUGACUAUGAAAUUUCAUCUCAUGACUUAAUGUGAUAGACUUAAUUAUUAUGUCGUUGAAAAUAUUUUAUGAUAGAUGCACUCAAUUUCUUCGAAUCAGACUCAUACUAUAUUUGUUAUGCUGGUUUUUCUAUAAAAAUUCAAGGAGAAAAAAAAGAGAAUAGUAGAAAAAUGUAGGAGUAUUGGAUUGAUCCAAAAAUACCUAUUUAUAUUGAUCAAAAGAUAGAGUAUAAUUUUUAAAAUAAUAAAAUAAUUUAUCAUAUCUCAAUAAAUAUUCUCACUAUCAUCUAUUUAUUUUAAUAUAGAUUUUAAUUUUUUAUUUUAUCUAAUCCUAAUUAUUUGAAUUAUUCUUAUCAAAACUGUUCCACGCUCUUCAACUUCCCAUUGCUGAUGAGCUACAGAACCCAUCAAAGCAGGCGAAUGAAGAAGUCCAAUUCAAGUAGUAAGCAGUCAGAUUUUAGAUACCUGCAGG